AUGAACGCUGGCGGCGUGCCUAAUACCUGCAAGUCGAGCGAACAGAUGAGGAGCUUGCUCCUCUGACGUUAGCGGCGGACGGGUGAGUAACCCGUGGAUAACCUACCUAUAAGACUGGGAUAACUUCGGGAAACCGGAGCUAAUACCGGAUAAUAUAUUUAACCGCAUGGUUCAAUAGUGAAAGACGGUUUUGCUGUCACUUAUAGAUGGAUCCGCGCCGCAUUAGCUAGUUGGUAAGGUAACGGCUUACCAAGGCAACGAUGCGUAGCCGACCUGAGAGGGUGAUCGGCCACACUGGAACUGAGACACGGUCCAGACUCCUACGGGAGGCAGCAGUAGGGAAUCUUCCGCAAUGGGCGAAAGCCUGACGGAGCAACGCCGCGUGAGUGAUGAAGGUCUUCGGAUCGUAAAACUCUGUUAUUAGGGAAGAACAAAUGUGUAAGUAACUAUGCACGUCUUGACGGUACCUAAUCAGAAAGCCACGGCUAACUACGUG
Molecule: ribosomal RNA, 496 nt
Filed under: uncultured bacterium
Lineage: Bacteria
Description: partial 16S ribosomal RNA
Rfam family: Bacterial small subunit ribosomal RNA
Source: RNAcentral